ACUCCUACGGGAGGCAGCAGUGAGGAAUAUUGGUCAAUGGGCGAGAGCCUGAACCAGCCAAGUAGCGUGAGGGAUGACGGCCCUACGGGUUGUAAACCUCUUUUAUGCGGGGAUAAAGUGAGCCACGUGUGGUUCAUUGCAGGUACCGCGAGAAAAAGGACCGGCUAAUUCCGUGCCAGCAGCCGCGGUAAU
Molecule: ribosomal RNA, 192 nt
Filed under: uncultured bacterium
Lineage: Bacteria
Description: partial 16S ribosomal RNA
Rfam family: Bacterial small subunit ribosomal RNA
Source: RNAcentral